GACGGAGGGGGCAAGCGUUGUUCGGAAUUACUGGGCGUAAAGCGCCUGUAGGCGGGAACGUGCGUCGGACGUGAAAGGCGGGGGCUUAACCCCCGAGCGGCGUUCGAAACGGCGUUUCUUGAGGGUCGAAGAGGAGCGUGGAAUUCCUGGUGUAGCGGUGAAAUGCGUAGAGAUCAGGAGGAACACCCAUGGCGAAGGCAGCGCUCUGGUCGGCAUCUGACGCUGAGAGGCGAAAGCGUGGGGAGCGAACGGG
This 253-nucleotide ribosomal RNA is filed under the name uncultured bacterium. RNAcentral describes it as "partial 16S ribosomal RNA". It matches the Rfam family "Bacterial small subunit ribosomal RNA", at positions 524 to 776 of the family's 1533-position model. The record is from RNAcentral.